This is a long non-coding RNA of Fukomys damarensis (Damara mole-rat), 1013 nucleotides long. RefSeq lists it as uncharacterized. Lineage: Eukaryota; Metazoa; Chordata; Mammalia; Rodentia; Bathyergidae. The record is from RefSeq and is a predicted model, not a curated record. The transcript is spliced from 3 exons.
ACACUGAGAACAGGCUAAGCGGUCGCUGGUGGGCACUGGGAACACAGCAGUAGAGGCGAUGGUCAGAGAGCCAGAGUCUGAUGCGAUAGCAAUGGGGAAAAGGCGGUGGAUUUGAUCUUGAUCGGACUGGACCUGGUUCUUGCUCCACAGCUACAGAUUAGCCCCUUUAGCAAGGAGAGUGUGAUUAGGCUAGAAGAAGAUGACACAAGAAAAGCCGAAUGCCAACAGUUGACAUAACCAGCUCUAUUGGACGCCGAGUCUCUGCUCCUGCCGGCCACCACUUUCUAGUGCCAACUUGUGCUGGACACCGUAGAUGGUCAUCCCUAAGUCAGAGCAGCUGCAAUAUGGAGCGGCAUUUCCCCCGUAACUGGCUGUAAUGUACUCAGAGCUGGACUGAAGCCUACGUGACACACAGGAGCAUGUCGGAUGUGCUGCAGGCCAGUGCAGCUUCCGUGCCAAUGGCUGUGGCUAAGAUCUAAGUGUUGAUCAGUGAAGCUUCGGGGCUCCUCGUGAGAUAACACUGCAGUGAGGACUGGGUGGUUCCUGGAUCCACAUUCCAUCCCCAGAGCUGCCUAUCCCUUAAUUGUUUUCAGUUAAUCAUAACUGACCUUUGGUUGAUUCCCAAUCCUCCUUUCUACAAGCUUUGCCUGUGUCAGCUGCUGUCACUGAUGCCACAUAAGUCCCUCUACCCUGUUCUUACCCACGCCUGUGUAAUUAACUCCAAAGACCUGGCUACUUGGGUCCUGGCCACAUGCACGGCACGUGUUCAGCAUGGCCCAUCUCAGAUCCUCGCCAUGGCCACAUGUUUGAAUCUUGCUUCUGUGUUCCUUUCUCUUUCUUUCUCUCUCUCUCUCUCUCCUCUCCCCCCUCCCGCUUCUUUCUCACUUUCUUUCUUCCUCCAUCAUAUUGCCUUGCAGGAGAUGGAGCCUUGAGACUGGGACCCAGUAGUUUGUAUUCCCAGGAAUAAAACUAAAUCCCACCUAAAAACAAAUCAAUUCAGUAAGUUUUCAAGA